This is a long non-coding RNA of Gambusia affinis (western mosquitofish), 627 nucleotides long. RefSeq lists it as uncharacterized. The transcript has 4 exons. Lineage: Eukaryota; Metazoa; Chordata; Actinopteri; Cyprinodontiformes; Poeciliidae. The record is from RefSeq and is a predicted model, not a curated record.
AGUUGAAGCCUUUUUUCUACCUACCUCUCCCAGAAUCCUGUGCAGUUUUUUUUUAUUUUUUUUUUAUCAGAGAAUGAAUCCUCCUGCUGGUUCUGCUGCCAAGUUGAAGACUGGAAUUACAAACACCACUUCAGGCAAAGUUUUGAAAUCAGGGAACAUUUCUCCAAUUAAAGUGAUCAGAGGUCUUUUAAAGUUUUUGGACUUCAGUGGUUUCUCAAAUAAACAUGUCAGCAUAUUGUAUAACUCAUGGAAAAAGAAUGAAGGACAAAAGUUGAACUAUCAGUUCUGCAUCACUGAUCAUCUUCUUCUCACCAACCUUUCUUCAUCUGAAAGCACUGGGCGGAGACGAAGCGGCAUGCUUCACUGCCUUCUUUCCAACAUGUCAGGUCAAUAUCGGACCAUCUCAUAAUUCCAGACUCAUAAUUGCAACAGAGGAAGACCUGUGGCUCAAAUAACUGAUGAGAGAUUGCGAUGGAUUAUCAUCAGAACUCGACCGCAGAACCUUAAUACUAAACCUGCUAGGAGGGGAAACGUGUCCUGGAUUCUUCUGUUCUUUGAUUUCCAAAAACAGAAUGAACUACUUUGUCUUAUGUAAAUAAAACUUAACUGUGUUCAUUUUGUGACUAA